This 253-nucleotide ribosomal RNA is filed under the name uncultured bacterium. RNAcentral's name for it is "partial 16S ribosomal RNA". It matches the Rfam family "Bacterial small subunit ribosomal RNA", at positions 524 to 776 of the family's 1533-position model. The record is from RNAcentral.
GACGUAGGAUGCGAGCGUUGUCCGGAUUUAUUGGGCGUAAAGAGUUCGUAGGUGGUUUGUUAAGUCUGAUGUUAAAGAUUGGGGCUCAACCCUGAAACUGCAUUGGAUACUGGCAAACUUGAGUGUGGUAGAGGCUAGUGGAAUUCCCAGUGUAGCGGUGAAAUGCGUAGAUAUUGGGAAGAACACCGGUGGCGUAGGCGACUAGCUGGGCCAUAACUGACACUGAGGAACGAAAGCCAGGGUAGCGAAUGGG